This 468-nucleotide ribosomal RNA is filed under the name uncultured bacterium. Its description in RNAcentral is "partial 16S ribosomal RNA". It matches the Rfam family "Bacterial small subunit ribosomal RNA", at positions 28 to 507 of the family's 1533-position model. The record is from RNAcentral.
GACGAACGCUGGCGGCGUGCUUAACACAUGCAAGUCGAACGGAAAGGCCCUGCUUUUGUGGGGUGCUCGAGUGGCGAACGGGUGAGUAACACGUGAGUAACCUGCCCUUGACUUUGGGAUAACUUCAGGAAACUGGGGCUAAUACCGGAUAGGAGCUCCUGCUGCAUGGUGGGGGUUGGAAAGUGUCGGCGGUUGGGGCUGGACUCGCGGCUUAUCAGCUUGUUGGUGGGGUAGGGGCUUACCAAGGCUUUGACGGGUAGCCGGCCUGAGAGGGUGACCGGCCACAUGGGGACUGAGAGACGGCCCAGACUCCUACGGGAGGCAGCAGUGGGGAAUAUUGCACAAUGGGCCGAAGCCUGAUGCAGCAACGCCGCGUGCGGGAUGACGGCCUUCGGGUUGUAAACCGCUUUCGCCGGUGACGAAGAGUGAGUGACGGUAAUGGGUAAAGAAGCACCGGCUAACUACGUG